This is a long non-coding RNA of Nothoprocta perdicaria, 509 nucleotides long. RefSeq lists it as uncharacterized. NCBI's taxonomy places the organism in Eukaryota, Metazoa, Chordata, Aves, Tinamiformes, Tinamidae. The record is from RefSeq and is a predicted model, not a curated record. The transcript has 3 exons.
AGUGGCAGGCCUUCUGGAAAGGCCUAUGACCUCAGUGGAAACAUUUGAAUUAUGGCACUUUGGAUAAGGCUUGCAGGGACUGAUGGCCUUGUGAACUACCCCCUCUUCAGGCAGAAGGGUUUCAGGCCUUGUUUCCCCAGGGUCUGUGCUUGCCCCUGUCUCCCGCCUCAGCUCGUGCUAAGGCUCCUGCCUGCAAGGAGAUGCCACCCUUCAUCAGAGAAGUAAUGACAGACCCUCACUAGGCCCGCGAACACUGACAUGAAGCAACCUGAUUUAUGGUGACCGUUCUGCCCCGGAUUUCUGGCUUCCUUCCUCCCUUUAGGGCUCAGCUUGCUGCUCCUCGCCACCCGCACGUGGUAGCUUCAUGAGACAGGAACUGGCAGCGGCCACUCCUGCCRCGCUGUGAUUUUCCCCAGCAGGUGAUAUGCCCAUGUACUGGGAGGAAUCGGUACUGGGAUGGGCAGGGAAAGUGGRUGAAGCCCUUGGCCCAGGAAGAGAGAAGCUGCUGG